This is a long non-coding RNA of Nannospalax galili (Upper Galilee mountains blind mole rat), 422 nucleotides long. RefSeq lists it as uncharacterized. The record is from RefSeq and is a predicted model, not a curated record. Lineage: Eukaryota; Metazoa; Chordata; Mammalia; Rodentia; Spalacidae. The transcript is spliced from 3 exons.
UCAUCAAAUAACAGGACAGGAGGCCGAUUUCCCCAUGUCCUAAUUCUCAGCCACAUGGAAUGUCCAGUACAGUACUGCAGCAAACUUAAAAAAACUUGCCCAACUGGUUCUCAAUGACUUCGAGGGGUUGAGUACUAUGGCACAUUCUGGCAAAAUUCAGAUCCUGCAAGAAGAUGAUUAUUUAGAAGAAAAUGCAUCCCACACUGGAAUUAUCGAUCAGCGACUGUAGCAAGAUUGAAGUGAUAUGGAUCCAGUGAAAGUCACAAAGUCUGAUACAUAGAGAACCGCUUUCUCUUCAAGUGUGCCUCCUUGGGACAUCAAAUGUAUCUAAAACAGCUUGCUGACCUCUCACACUGUCUCUGCAGUUUCUGGACAUGGCUGAGCUCUCAUAUUUAAUGAAUGAGCCAAACUCCAUUAUUAUA